Molecule: non-coding RNA, 223 nt
Organism: Caenorhabditis elegans
Lineage: Eukaryota; Metazoa; Nematoda; Chromadorea; Rhabditida; Rhabditidae
Source: Ensembl
ACAUUUUCGAAUUUUGUUCAUUUUGGCGCGCAAAUCUGGCUUGUUGCGCCAUUUUCGAAUACUUUUCUUGUCCCUGGCGCCAAGUUUUGUCAUCUUUUUUCGGUUUUUUCAUUCAUUUUGAUGCAUUUGCGUUGUUUCCUCAGUUGGUUCACUGUAAUUUUCGAGUUCUCUCUGAUUUUGCUCCAUGAGCAAGCUCUGAUCACGAGAUAAUCUCUCUGCUCAG